AUGGCCCUUUCUGACCUUAGGCUCCAAGCUGGGUUAGAAUUUGAAGACAAGAUCAGGAAGAAUCUGGGAUCGACAGUCAAUCAUCUUGAAGGCACUCACUCAAAAGAAUUCUUCCUGGUAGCACAAUUUUCAAGAUCAAAAAUCAGACUUAAUCUGGAUACAGUGGGUCUCACUCUACAAUCCUGCCUGGGAGGUAAUGCAGCCAGAUUCAAGGUCUCUUUUCUUCGAAAUUGGUGUUUCAAACUCUCUGUUGCUUCCAAGGAUGUUGGUUUUUCGAUCUAUAAUGGAGGUAACAUUGCCAAUGAAAAUUUUAGUGUUCAUUUCUUCCUUUGGGGCAAUGGGGGUCCGAAUUUCCGUAAAGAGUUUGAGCUCUAUUGCAAUGAGCAAGACAAGGAAUGGAAGAUGGUAUCUCGUUCGAAAAACCUUUCCAAAUCUUUUGCGGAUGUUGUCAAAUCUCCAAGAUUUUUUGGUGUUCACGACAAAAAUUCAAACUCCCGGCAGAACAACAUUGUUUCGCAGGCGCAGCAAUCUCGGCCUUCAGUUUUUGCUCGACCUGAAUGGCCUGUUAGUGCCAGCAUUGGUGGCGCUAGAAUGAAUUACUAG
This 603-nucleotide ribosomal RNA is filed under the name Triticum aestivum (bread wheat). Its description in RNAcentral is "partial small subunit ribosomal RNA". Lineage: Eukaryota; Viridiplantae; Streptophyta; Magnoliopsida; Poales; Poaceae. The record is from RNAcentral.